AUUGAACGCUGGCGGCAUGCUUUACACAUGCAAGUCGAACGGUAACAGGCCUUCGGGUGCUGACGAGUGGCGAACGGGUGAGUAAUGCAUCGGAACGUACCCAGAGGUGGGGAUAACGCAGCGAAAGCUGUGCUAAUACCGCAUGUGAUCUGAGGAUGAAAGCGGGGGACCGAGCAGCAAUGUUUGGCCUCGCGCCUUUGGAGCGGCCGAUGUCGGAUUAGCUAGUUGGUGGGGUAAAGGCCUACCAAGGCGACGAUCCGUAGCUGGUCUGAGAGGACGACCAGCCACACUGGGACUGAGACACGGCCCAGACUCCUACGGGAGGCAGCAGUGGGGAAUUUUGGACAAUGGGCGCAAGCCUGAUCCAGCAAUGCCGCGUGCGGGAAGAAGGCCUUCGGGUUGUAAACCGCUUUUGGCAGGAACGAAACGGUGUCCGCUAAUACCGGGCGCUAAUGACGGUACCUGCAGAAUAAGCACCGGCUAACUACGUG
Molecule: ribosomal RNA, 491 nt
Filed under: uncultured bacterium
Lineage: Bacteria
Description: partial 16S ribosomal RNA
Rfam family: Bacterial small subunit ribosomal RNA
Source: RNAcentral